CAGCCGCCGCGGUAAUACCGGCGGCCCGAGUGGCGGUCACUAUUAUUGGGCUUAAAGCGUCCGUAGCCGGGUUGGGAAGUCCUCCGGGAAAUCUGGCCCCUUAACGGUCAGAAUGCCGGAGGAUACUCCCAGCCUAGGGAGAGGGAGAGGCCGAGGGUAUUCCCGGAGUAGGGGGGAAAUCCUAUAAUCCCGGGAGGACCACCUGGGGCGAAGGCGCUCGGCUGGAACGCGUCCGACGGUGAGGGACGAAGGCCAGGGGAGCAAACCGGAUUAGAUACCCGGGUAGUCCUGGCUGUAAACGAUGCGGACUUUGUGUCGGACAAGCUAUGAGCUUGUCCGGUGCCGGAGGGAAACCGUUAAGUCCGCCGCCUGGGGAGUACGGCCGCAAGGCUGAAACUUAAAGGAAUUGGCGGG
RNAcentral lists this ribosomal RNA (414 nucleotides) under uncultured microorganism. RNAcentral's name for it is "bacterial SSU rRNA". It matches the Rfam family "Archaeal small subunit ribosomal RNA", at positions 459 to 872 of the family's 1478-position model. The record is from RNAcentral.